Non-coding RNA from Podarcis lilfordi (Lilford's wall lizard), 78 nucleotides. Lineage: Eukaryota; Metazoa; Chordata; Lepidosauria; Squamata; Lacertidae. The record is from the annotation of a GenBank genome assembly.
GUCCAGCAACACCUAGCUCAGUCAGUGGAGCAAGAGGCUCUUAAACUUGGGUUGUGGGUUCGAGCCCCACACUGGGUG